RNAcentral lists this ribosomal RNA (434 nucleotides) under uncultured bacterium. Its description in RNAcentral is "partial 16S ribosomal RNA". It matches the Rfam family "Bacterial small subunit ribosomal RNA", at positions 29 to 507 of the family's 1533-position model. The record is from RNAcentral.
AACGAACGCUGGCUGCAGGCCUAACACAUGCAAGUCGAACGAACCUUUCGGGUUUAGUUGCGUUGGUGUGAGUAACCCGUGGGAACAUGCCUUUAUGUUCGACAUACCUCAGGUAACCUUGUACUAAUACCGAAUGUGCCCUUCGGGGGGAUGAUUUAUCGCCUUUAGAGCGGCCGGCGGCUGAUUAGCUAGUUGGUUCAGGUAAGGGCCCACCAAGGCGUCGAUCAGUGGCUCGUCUGCGAGGAUGGUCAGCGACAUAGGGACUGAGACACGGCCCAAACACGAACGGGAGGCAGCAGUGGGGAAUCUGGCGCAAUGGGCGAGAGCGUGACGUAGCCAUGCCGUGGGAAGGAUGAAGGUUUUAGGAGGGUAAAAUUCUGUCACCGGGUACGAUAAUGACGGUACCCGGAGAAGAAGCCCCGGCUAACUUCGUG